GGACGUACUUCCGGUUUGCGGGGGGGGGGGGAGGGCUCAGGCAGGAGACGAGGCAGCCGCGUUCCUCGCUGCUGCCUACAUUUCCCAGCCGGCACCGAGCGUGCCUUGGAGCCAAUCCAGAGCGACGCUGAGCAGAGCCGAGCUCCCUCCCGGCUACAGGAGUCUUUGGUGAAGCAGCCGCUGGCCACCGUUGGGGGGGACGUAAGCCAGACUGGCCGAGCCUGGCUCUGGAAAGCAGAGAAGGGACCCCCCCACUCGCCCGGAGCUUACUUGGCAACACGUUAAGCAGACCCCCUUUUCACGUUUAGUGGUAUUUUCUUUCCUUAAAGAGGCACGUGCGUCAGCCACUUGGGCGUUGUGUCCUCCAAGACCGACAGAGCGCAUCGGGUUCCCUGCAGCUGGGUACAUGUCAUUGCUGAGCAAAUGACUCCAGUCCUUCAUUUUAGUUUGAGAUAGGAUUUCAUUCCCCGCACCCACGUGAUGGGAGGUGAGAACUGAGUCACCCCAAGGGUUGUCGUCUGACAUCCAUCCAUGUGCUGUGGCACACGCGCAUACACACCCACAGUGAAAAAACAAUAAUGCCCUUUAAAAAUGUGUUCUUGUGCGUGCGCACAUGCGCGCCACAGCAAACAGUUCUCACCUUCCACCACAUGGACUCAGGGAAUCGAACUCAGGUCUUCAGGCUUGGCAAGAGCAUCUUUAUCUAACCAUCUGACUGGUUUUGUUUUCAAUCCGAUUUGUUUUUCUGUCCUACCGCAGGCCGUGCUUGAGGGCGCUGCACAGCUCUCUGCAUCUUUGUGUCUAUACCACAUGAAUUUGGCCUUGCUGUCUCCUUCUCCUUCUUAGCUGCAGACAUCUGCCUGCCAUGCAUGAGCAUGUCAUGGGCUACCUGACAGGCGCACCCCACUGGAAGUAACUAGCCAUAAGCCACCCCCGAGCCCCUGACCACCACCCCUCAUGCGGAGAUGUGGCUGAGCCACCAGUGCCAGCCAUGCAAGAGACUGUUAGGGAUACACUGUUGCCGGACCAUCCCGGUGCUGGUGGCUCUCAGAACCCGCUACCUGGCCCCUGCUGCUUGGGACCAGACACCAGGACCCCGCCACAAGCUGCUCAGGACCCACAAAAUUCAUAACAUUUUGGUGCCACGUGACUCGGAUAGGUGCUCCUGCCUGGAACUCCUCUUCUAGGGUCAGGAUCCUGAACUAGGGUCUUUUUUCCACUCCUAUCACCGACUUCCUGGCUUCAAUCGAGCCACGGCCCCAGCCUCUCACUGGAGGAUUCUAAGUGGGGCUCCACUCCUGAGCCACAUCCAAACCCAAGCAGUUUCUCCGCGUUUGCUUCAGUUGGACUGACCAGGGUCGUCCCCACUGUGCACGGGGCCAGGAAGGUGCACCCACUUACAGGUGUCUCUAAGAUCUCUGGUGGGUGUCUCCCUGGCCCUAAGGUUAGCUAUGGAGAGAUUGGCUGCCGGAAGCUUUGAUGGGCGCGAGAGGAAGCUCUGGAAGCCACUUCCCUUUUGCUGCUGCCUGCUUGUUGCCAUGGAAACCAAAGGUUCUGAAGAACCCAUUAAGAAGCAGGAAGUAAUCAAGGCUCUCUGGACAGCUCCCACCUUCCCUAGGGACGUGAUCUCUGUGGUUGCUGGGCUGGGGGUUGGGGUGUGGAGGAGGGGGGAUGUCAUUGGUCUUCUGAAUCCUACCUCCCAAUAAAAUAAAAUUCCAUAUGUGGCGUAUUCCAAGCAGAGACCUUCAGGGUGCCGGUGUCAGGGAAGGAUUCCUGGAGUCACCACCUUGAGCCCCUGCUCGCACGUCUGUGAGACACUCGCUUGCUUGGGAAAGCCAGAGACCUCAUCAGUGUUAUGCGGCAGUCAAGCUUCCUAGUCCCCUCACCCCAGAAGCUGAGGCCAGGAGGACAGAGCCUGUGCAACACUGAGAGACAAACAGCACAGACAAUGAUGCCAAGGAACACCAGAGUGCCAAAAAUAUGUAAAGUAUCAAAGAGUCUCAUAACUGGAUCCCAGGCUGGGCGGGUCCCAGUUGCCUCCUCGCUGAGCUUCCCUGAACCAUACGCUUUACAUCUCUGGGCCUCAGCCUCUAGGUAAAAGGCUACAAUACAAUGUCUGCCCCAGGACCUCAGGUGAGAGACGGUUCAGCGUUAGAGCUCUGGCUGCUCUGUCAGAGGCCCCAGGUUCGGUCCCAGCAUCCACAGGACAGCUCACAACUGUGACUGCAGCUCCAGAGGUCCCGGGACCUCUGCUGGCCUCGGUGAGCACUGCAGUCAUGCGCACAAAUCCUCCGCA
Molecule: long non-coding RNA, 2296 nt
Organism: Myodes glareolus (Bank vole)
Lineage: Eukaryota; Metazoa; Chordata; Mammalia; Rodentia; Cricetidae
Source: RefSeq, a predicted model, not a curated record